UCCGGUUUGACACCGGCAGUCUCGUUAGAGUCCUCGGCAUUACCCGUUAGCAACUAACGACAGGGGUUGCGCUCGUUAAGGGACUUAACCCGACACUUCACAGCACGAGCUGACGACAGCCAUGCAGCACCUGUGCAUGUUCCACUCUUGCGAGCGUCAUUCCUGUUUCCAGGAACUAAUCCAUGCAUGUCAAACCCAGGUAAGGUUCUUCGCGUUGCUUCGAAUUAAGCAACAUGCUCCACCGCUUGUGUGAGCCCCCGUCAAUUCCUUUGAGUUUUAGCCUUGCGACCGUACUUCCCAGGCGGCGCACUUAACAAUUUCUCUCCGACCAACACAGGGUCAGACCUGCAUCGGUCUAGUGCGCAUCGUUUACAGCGUGGACUAC
This 385-nucleotide unclassified non-coding RNA is filed under the name uncultured Phycisphaeraceae bacterium. RNAcentral's name for it is "contains 16S-23S intergenic spacer region". The record is from RNAcentral. Lineage: Bacteria; Pseudomonadati; Planctomycetota; Phycisphaerae; Phycisphaerales; Phycisphaeraceae.